AAUCCGGUUCCUAUUCCGGAACCCGGCAGCGGAACCGAAUCUACGGUCCCUCGUCAGAGAAACUCGUCGGGGUAACGCAAAGGGACUCGCAGACGCCAUUGGGAGCCCCGGACAGUUUUGUCUGUUCUGCAAAAGCGUUUGAGUGUCCUGUAAUACUCUAGCAGGAAGAUAGGGUUUUGAACGCGAAAGACAUUGCAGUUGCGGCAGUGUCCGGGUCGUCCCCUCG
This 226-nucleotide ribosomal RNA is filed under the name Entelloptera rogenhoferi. RNAcentral's name for it is "partial 28S ribosomal RNA". It matches the Rfam family "Eukaryotic large subunit ribosomal RNA", at positions 1603 to 1799 of the family's 3401-position model. Lineage: Eukaryota; Metazoa; Arthropoda; Insecta; Mantodea; Chroicopteridae. The record is from RNAcentral.